GACGAACGCUGGCGGCGUGCCUAAUACAUGCAAGUAGAACGCUGAAGGAGGAGCUUGCUUCUCUGGAUGAGUUGCGAACGGGUGAGUAACGCGUAGGUAACCUGCCUUGUAGCGGGGGAUAACUAUUGGAAACGAUAGCUAAUACCGCAUAAUAGCAGUUGUUGCAUGAUAACUGUUUGAAAGGUGCAAUUGCACCACUACCAGAUGGACCUGCGUUGUAUUAGCUAGUUGGUGUGGUAACGGCUCACCAAGGCGACGAUACAUAGCCGACCUGAGAGGGUGAUCGGCCACACUGGGACUGAGACACGGCCCAGACUCCUACGGGAGGCAGCAGGAGGGAAUCGUCGGCAAUGGACGGAAGUCUGACCGAGCAACGCCGCGUGAGUGAAGAAGGUUGUCGGAUCGUAAAGCUCUGUUGUAAGAGAAGAACGAGUGUGAGAGUGGAAAGUUCACACUGUGACGGUAUCUUACCAGAAAGGGACGGCUAACUACGUG
Molecule: ribosomal RNA, 495 nt
Filed under: uncultured bacterium
Lineage: Bacteria
Description: partial 16S ribosomal RNA
Rfam family: Bacterial small subunit ribosomal RNA
Source: RNAcentral